This is a non-coding RNA of Paramuricea clavata, 239 nucleotides long. NCBI's taxonomy places the organism in Eukaryota, Metazoa, Cnidaria, Anthozoa, Malacalcyonacea, Plexauridae. The record is from the annotation of a GenBank genome assembly.
ACCAUAGAAUAAGAAAUGAAUAGAAGGGCAACUGAGUGUCGGAUCCUUUGAAGUUGGUGUCCUCGCGCAUGUCGUGUCGCGCAUACCGGAAAUUCGACGGCCGCCAUUACUCUGGCCAGUAACCUGCUGCCAGAAUAAAUAUAAAUUGUAUUGAGCGAGGGUUAUAUUUUCGUUUUAAAAGCAUACCGUGGGAGUUUAUGUUCAAAAUUUUGGUUUUAAUGACCAGAGCAUUCAAGGAG